AGUGGGGAAUAUUGGACAAUGGGCGCAAGCCUGAUCCAGCAAUGCCGCGUGGGUGAAGAAGGUCUUCGGAUCGUAAAGCCCUUUCGGCGGGGACGAUGAUGACGGUACCCGCAGAAGAAGCCCCGGCUAACUUCGUGCCAGCAGCCGCGGUAAUACGAAGGGGGCUAGCGUUGCUCGGAAUUACUGGGCGUAAAGAGCGCGUAGGCGACCUUGUUAGUCAGGCGUGAAAUUCCUGAACUCAACCUAGGGGCUGCGCUUGAUACGGCAGGGCUUGAGGAUGGAAGAGGCUCGUGGAAUUCCCAGUGUAGAGGUGAAAUUCGUAGAUAUUGGGAAGAACACCGGUGGCGAAGGCGGCGAGCUGGUCCAUUACUGACGCUGAGGCGCGACAGCGUGGGGAGCAAA
This 402-nucleotide ribosomal RNA is filed under the name uncultured Roseomonas sp. RNAcentral describes it as "bacterial SSU rRNA". It matches the Rfam family "Bacterial small subunit ribosomal RNA", at positions 353 to 772 of the family's 1533-position model. Lineage: Bacteria; Pseudomonadati; Pseudomonadota; Alphaproteobacteria; Acetobacterales; Roseomonadaceae. The record is from RNAcentral.